GGACUACCAGGGUAUCUAAUCCUGUUUGCUACCCACGCUUUCGUGUUUCAGCGUCAGUUACGGUCCAGAGAGCCGUCUACACCGCCGGUGUUCCUCCUGAUAUCUACGCAUUUCACCGCUACACCAGGAAUUCCACUCUCCUCUCCCGCACUCCAAGUCAUUCAGUAUUCGGCGCACCCUCCCAGUUAAGCCGGGAGAUUUCACACCAAACUUAAACAACCGCCUACACACCCUUUACGCCCAGUAACUCCGAACAACGCUUGCUGCCUACGUAUUACCGCGGCUGCUGGCAC
This 293-nucleotide ribosomal RNA is filed under the name uncultured Acidobacteriota bacterium. Its description in RNAcentral is "uncultured Acidobacteria bacterium partial 16S ribosomal RNA". The record is from RNAcentral. Lineage: Bacteria; Pseudomonadati; Acidobacteriota.